This 94-nucleotide small RNA is filed under the name Xanthomonas fragariae. RNAcentral's name for it is "sX9 sRNA". It matches the Rfam family "Xanthomonas sRNA sX9". The record is from RNAcentral. Lineage: Bacteria; Pseudomonadati; Pseudomonadota; Gammaproteobacteria; Lysobacterales; Lysobacteraceae.
AUGUACCACGCGUACACUCUGGUUCCUCUGGUUCCUCUGGUUCCUCCGCGCCGUCCGCACCGAGCUGACGACUGCUCGCUACGUUUUGUUAGCG